GGAGGUAGUGACAAUAAAUCACAAUGCGGAACAAUGUUUUGCAAUUGGAUUGAGAACAACGUACAAACCUUAUCGAUAAACAAUUGGAGGGCAAGUCUGGUGCCAGCAGCCGCGGUAAUUCCAGCUCCAAUAGCGUAUAUUAACGUUGUUGCAGUUAAAAAGCUCGUAGUUGAAAUGAAGGGUAGUUGUGUAAUGAAUACAUUCGUGUAUUUUGUUAUUCUACUACCCUCCUUCUAAAUUCGAUAUAUGAGUAUUAAUUUACUUGUAUAUGGUUUUAGACUUUUACUGUGAGAAAAUUAGAGUGUUCAAAGCAGGCAUUUGCUUGAAUAUAUUAGCAUGGAAUAAUCAUGUAUGAUUUUCAUGAUGUAUUUGAUUGGUUUGGUUCAUGAGAAUAAGAUUAAAAGGGACAGUUGGGGGUAUUCAUAUUCAAUAGUCAGAGGUGAAAUUCUCGGAUUUAUGGAAGAUGAACAAGUGCGAAAGCA
Molecule: ribosomal RNA, 482 nt
Filed under: Blastocystis sp.
Lineage: Eukaryota; Bigyra; Opalinata; Blastocystidae
Description: SSU rRNA
Rfam family: Eukaryotic small subunit ribosomal RNA
Source: RNAcentral